UACGUAGGUGGCAAGCGUUGUCCGGAUUUAUUGGGCGUAAAGCGAGUGCAGGCGGCUCGAUAAGUCUGAUGUGAAAGCCUUCGGCUCAACCGGAGAAUUGCAUCAGAAACUGUCGAGCUUGAGUGCAGAAGAGGAGAGUGGAACUCCAUGUGUAGCGGUGAAAUGCGUAGAUAUAUGGANAGAACACCGGUGGCGAAGGCGUAAUCUCUGGUCUGUUACUGACGCUGAGGCUCGAAAG
This 238-nucleotide ribosomal RNA is filed under the name uncultured Lactobacillaceae bacterium. Its description in RNAcentral is "partial 16S ribosomal RNA". It matches the Rfam family "Bacterial small subunit ribosomal RNA", at positions 524 to 759 of the family's 1533-position model. Lineage: Bacteria; Bacillati; Bacillota; Bacilli; Lactobacillales; Lactobacillaceae. The record is from RNAcentral.